This 1206-nucleotide unclassified non-coding RNA is filed under the name Hevea brasiliensis (rubber tree). The record is from RNAcentral. Lineage: Eukaryota; Viridiplantae; Streptophyta; Magnoliopsida; Malpighiales; Euphorbiaceae.
UAAAGGACAUCAUUCUGCCUUUGGAAUAUAUAUAUGUAUGUGUGCAAUAUAUUUAUACGAAGGAAAAUAAAAAUAAAUAGCAAGAGCAAAAUAUCUAGAGGGUAGCCUAUUAAAGAAGGUCAUUGUGUAUCCAACCUAGACAACUCACUCUGUCACAGACAAAAAAGAUAAUUAUGAUGUGAAACAAGAAACAUUGCCUUGUAGAUCAUCUUCGUAUCUGUUGUUAUAUGUAUAGAAACGAAAAAAAAAAAAAGGAAGAUCACCCACCAUGCCACUUUCUUUUGCACUUUACAUUCUCUUUGAAUAUCCCAUUGGUGCAGUACAAGAGGAAAAAAGAGAAAAAUAAGUAGGAGAAGAAAAAGGUCUAUUAACUAAGAAGCUAGUGCCCUGUGCUUCUGAUGAGGAAUUGGCUUAUGUCUCCGGCGAAGAUCCUCCACGAGUUGGCGAGUCUCGUGCCUGCCAGAAGCACUGCAGUGCCUAUAAGAUUUUGUUAUUUGCUUGGUAGAUAUUUCUAGUUCUUUCAUUUCAUCCAAAACAAUCUGCCUGUUUCUGCAUUCUAUGCUGCAAAAGCCUUGAUCUCCCCUGUUAUCAAACCAUGUUAGAUCUGUUCGUUUCUCUCUAUGAUCAUCCCAGCAAAGGACUAAACUAAACUAAUUAAAAGGUGCAUGUAUAUGAAAGUUUUCUUUUCCUGGUGAUAAUUAAAGAUUAUUUAAAUUGCCUGCUGUACUAUAAAUAUAUAGAUCGACAAAUUGCAAGGGAAAAAAAAAAGAUUGAAAGAUAAUUUAGCCCCAAGAAUUAAUGGUGAAGUUAAUGAAGUAUUUAUAGUUACCUGUACAUGUAGAUGUCUUUGUGUAGGCUCAACUUCAUUUUGCAUAAAUAACAAGAUUUGAGGUAGCAAUAAGAUUCAAUGGUGGUGGCUGAAGAAGCAGGAGGAAGGUGAUGAUGAUUUACUUUUUUCAUUGAAGUUUUUAAAACAACAUUGGAUUUGGAUUUGGAUUUUCCUUCUGAUGAUGAUAUCUGUACAAGGGUUUGCAACCCAACAACCAUUAAUCCCUCUCUAGAAGUUGUAGAAGUUGAAUUGGAGUCCUGAGAGAAACCUCCAAGCAUUUCAAAGGGAUUCUUGAAAUUGAAAUUUCUUAGCGGCAGAGGGAUUCUUGAAUUUUGAAGGAAAGAAAGAGAAAUGAGAAGAAAAUUAGUCAGGCAUUG